AGAAAAUUAGUUAAAUUUAUAACAUUAAUAUGUCAUAUUAAAAUUAUUAUUAUUUUAAUAUUUUCUA
Molecule: transfer RNA, 67 nt
Filed under: Ramulus mikado
Lineage: Eukaryota; Metazoa; Arthropoda; Insecta; Phasmatodea; Phasmatidae
Also listed under: 2 other names
Description: tRNA-Asp
Source: RNAcentral